This 258-nucleotide ribosomal RNA is filed under the name uncultured prokaryote. RNAcentral describes it as "partial 16S ribosomal RNA". It matches the Rfam family "Bacterial small subunit ribosomal RNA", at positions 524 to 782 of the family's 1533-position model. The record is from RNAcentral.
CACGUAGGGGCGAGCGUUGUCCGGAAUUACUGGGCGUAAAGGGCGCGCAGGCUGUUAUGCGAGUCUGCUGUGAAAAUCCGGGGCUCAACCCCGGACUUGCAGUGGGUACGGGCAGACUAGAGUGUGGUAGGGGAGACUGGAAUUCCUGGUGUAGCGGUGAAAUGCGCAGAUAUCAGGAGGAACACCGAUGGCGAAGGCAGGUCUCUGGGACACUACUGACGCUGAGAAGCGAAAGCAUGGGGAGCGAACAGGAUUAGA